UCUCUCUCUCUCUCUUUUUUGUGCGCUUUUCUCCUCCUCCUUCUUAAGGUAGCUGUUGGGAGGGAGCCUUGAUAGCCUAGAGCUCUUCUUCUAUAUAGGUAGAAGCGACCGUGUAAUCCGUGCCGUCCGGGAGAGAGAGAGGGAGAGAGCACCGCACCUACAUGUACGGCGCGGUUGUCCUUUUCCUUUUUUUUUUGUGCGCUUUUCUCCUCCGCCUCCUUCUUAAGGUAGCUGUCGCGAGGGAGCCUUGAUAGCCUAGAGCCCUUCUUCUAUAUAGGUAGCGACCGUGGGCAGCAGAAGGAGGAGGCGGGCGGGGGUAGGGUAGAGGUAGGUUCGGUGUUAGGUGGCCGCUCGAGCGGUAAUUAGGGUGAGGUGAGCCGAGGUCCUCGCGGUCGCCGGAGGCCAGCUUCCUUCCAGGGGGAAGACGGGGGGCAAUUCUACUACGCCACGCGACACUCCCCGCCGCCACGAGUGCAGCAGUAGCCGCUCGCCUCCAGCGGCAGCAGCAGCAGCGGGCCGUCGCCUUCCUCGCAGCACGCCUACAGCCUCCCCGCGCCGCCCGAGACGACGCCGCCGCACUCCAGCGCGCGCCGCCUAGAGCGCCCCGAGCUCUACCCGUCCGGGUCGCGGCCGCGGCGCCCCGAGAAGGCCUCGUGCGCGAUGCCGGCGCACGCGCGGUGCCGGAGUCGACUGGGGCUCCUAUAAGGUAGACUGUUCGAAGUUCGAUUUAGAAGACCCUCACAAGACGGCAUGCAACCGCAACGAACGAACCCCCGUUAAGACAAACCGAUGGUAGAACCACACCAGUUACCGCGUGAACUUAUAGAGAGCUUUCUAGAACCCUAACGACUUUUACGACACAAUGUUCCUACCCACCAAUCGUGUUGGGACCGACCGCGCUGUCAUCCAAGAAAAUGACCUCCCCGAAACCGACUAUUUAAUCCCUCUUGUGCCUGUAAAUAGGAUCUACGUUAGGGAGAACGACAUCCGCGUAAGAACUCACGUUGUCGAGUUCUACAGGCAUGUUACUAAUAACCAGCUAAUGAACGACCCUAACCAUAACCCUAGAGAAGACGAGAACACGGGGAAAUGUAUAGACUCUAGAGUGGUUGACUUUAUGCACCUCGUGAACCAUGCUAAUUAGUCGACAAAUAGACGUAACCUUAAGAACGUCGAAACCAUCGACCUAACGGUAAUCGUGUUUUAGGACGUACCACCUCCUGUUACAAACCUUAAAGUUAUCAAGGUAGAUAAAACAACCGAGAUCCUUACCGACAAAGUGGACUUUCGGGAGCGACCGAUAAGGUCGUUCCUUUCUAAAGAGUUCGUCUUCGUCGAUAUUUUUUUAACAUACCCUUUCUCUUCCAAUGACUUCAGUACAUACUGGAUUUCCGAUCACCCGUUCCUAGAUUACUCGGUCUACGGUUGACCAAACUAGAUAAGUCGUUUGCGAUAACCUUUCAACACUCGCACCCUCGCCGUGACAAAAACAACGUCGUUGAACGACCGUAUUUACGACAACACAUGAUGAGAUGUAGUCACAAGGCGUCACGUCCGUAACGUAGACUACAACGUCGCUCACGAGAACAACCACGGCGGUUACAAAAACCAUGGUACUAACGUAGAAGUGACUACCUGUUCGUUCCCUCCUUCUCGGAAGAGUAUUGUUCGAAAAGACCUUACCGCCGCAGCUACAAUGAGAACAGUAACAGGAAGUGGACCUUCCGAAACCGUGGAAUAAGGCCGUGAGAACGACAACAACCGUGACAGGACAUACACGACAGUAAGCGAGAACCUCGACCGGGACAAGGUCGAAACGAGGAAGGACUUUAUAAACGGAGGUCUUAUUCCCGGUUCCGACAUCGUAAUAGUUACCCUUACGUGACCCAUAGUUUGAAGAAGUAGCCGGACAUGAAGGACUCGCAGCAGUUGUUCAAACCCUAGUCGUGGCACAUGAACCCUAAGCGCAGGCACACACGAGAGCGCCAGGACAUGUAACGGCCCUUACACCAGCUCUGGUUCCCCGCUAGGGACCUUCUCUAACUCGCCCUCGAUUCGGGUGGGUCAUUUCGGCUACGAUUACGAAAGAACCACUCACUAGUUACUCGUGGCUCGUGUUUGCAGGAGCCUGGAGCCCUACAACAGAGACGGAAAAUACAUCAAGGACUUUAUUCCCUCGGCGUUCCAGCGGACUGCGGUAAGUUUGGCCGGCCACGAGUCCCACAACACCGUGGUCAUUUCGAGUCGAUAAAGAACAGUGUAGAGUCUUAGUUUCUCGAAUACACGAUAACGAGGUCCUCCACGUUCUAAAUCCGAACGACGAUCAGGAACCUAGCCUACAGUAGCAAAAGUCACAUGUCUACUUGAGGAAUAUACACAGCCUUGAACCUUUAUUUUGAGGUUAAACGGCUUAAAGUUUCGCACUACACAUUAAUAUAAUGAAUGGUUAACUUUUACGGGAUAAAGUAUGACACAUUUACUCUAGAACUACGUCGCCAUUUAGCCAUCAUUAGGUAGGG
This 2519-nucleotide ribosomal RNA is filed under the name Triticum aestivum (bread wheat). RNAcentral describes it as "partial small subunit ribosomal RNA". Lineage: Eukaryota; Viridiplantae; Streptophyta; Magnoliopsida; Poales; Poaceae. The record is from RNAcentral.